RNAcentral lists this ribosomal RNA (1773 nucleotides) under Triticum aestivum (bread wheat). RNAcentral describes it as "partial small subunit ribosomal RNA". The record is from RNAcentral. Lineage: Eukaryota; Viridiplantae; Streptophyta; Magnoliopsida; Poales; Poaceae.
AUGCUGAUGACCGUGCAUUUGCAAGGCUGGCUUGCUGGCCUUGCGUGUAUGUUCUCCACCGGCAUUGUUUUCCAAAUCCUGGUACGACCUUGUAGCAAUGGAGAGGGAGUCUUCUUCUGCCCACAAUCUCCAAAGGCCUGCUCCAUCGUCGGCAAGAGGUACAGGACUGACUACCACUUCCAACCCCCGAAGAAUUGGAUCAAUGAUCCAUGUGGAUCAAUGUACUACAAUGGAGUUUACCAUGAAUUCUACCAGUAUAACCCCAAUGGCUCUUAUAAUCCCAAUAUCUCCUAUAACAUUGUUUGGGGCCAUUCGGUUUCAAUGGACCUCAUCAACUGGAUCAAUCUUGAACCCGCAAUAGAACCGGAUACCCCAAGUGACAUAAGUGGUUGCUGGACUGGCUCAGCCACAAUUCUAUCUGGUGAUCAACCGAUCAUCAUAUACACUGGUCUCCUCGACAUACAGAAGCAUCAGGUCCAAAACAUUGCGCUUCCAAAAAACCGGUCUGAUCCAUACCUGAGGGAAUGGACCAAAGCACACAAUAACCCAGUUAUCCAACCGGUCGUACCAGGCUUGAACUCGAGCCAGUUCAGGGAUCCGACAACCGGUUGGAUCGGACCGGAUGGACUAUGGAGAAUAGCAGUUGGUGCUGAGUUGAACGGCUAUAGUGCUGCACUUUUGUACAAGAGUGAAGACUUCUUGAAUUGGACUAGAGUUGAACACCCACUAUAUUCAUCCAAUUCCUCCAAUAUGUGGGAGUGUCUAGAUUUUUUCGCAGUAUUGCCUGGAAGUGGGGGUGGACUGGACUUGUCUUCAGCAAUCCCAAAUGGCGCCAAGCAUGUCCUCAAAGUUAGCAUGAAUUGCACUGAUGACAUGUACAUGAUUGGGGUUUAUGAUCUCAAACGUGAUGCCUUUGUGCCCGAUACUGUCCUAGAUGACAGUCGGCUAUGGCCGAGGAUUGAUUAUGGGAAUUUCUAUGCUUCAAAAUCCUUCUUUGACUCAAAACAUGGCCGAAGGAUCAUAUGGGCUUGGAGUAGCGAGACAGAUAGUUCUUCAGAUGAUGUUGCAAAAGGCUGGGCAGGAAUCCAUUCAAUCCCAAGGACAAUUUGGUUAGACAGCCAUGGCAAGCAGUUGCUGCAAUGGCCAGUUGAAGAGAUUGAGUCCCUUCGAACAAAUGAAAUCAACCAUCAAGCAUUAGAGCUGAAGAAGGGAGAUCUAUUUGAGAUCAAGGGAAUUGAGACUUUGCAGGCUGAUGUCGAGAUAGAUUUUGAGCUGACGUCCAUCAAUGAUGCCGACCCUUUUGAUCCUUCCUGGCUUUUUGACACCGAGAAGCACUGCCGGGAAGCGGGUGCAUCAGUUCAUGGUGGCAUAGGGCCAUUCGGACUUGUUAUUCUGGCCUCCGACAACAUGGAGGAGCACACUGAUGUGCACUUCCGAGUUUACAAAUCACAACAAAAUUACAUGGUCCUCAUGUGCUCUGAUCUAAGAAGGUCUUCCCUGAGACCAGGACUGUACACACCAGCCUAUGGGGGCUUCUUUGAAUUUGACUUUGAAAAGGAAAGAAAGAUAUCUCUCAGAACUCUGAUUGAUCGGUCUGCGGUGGAGAGCUUUGGCGGCGGUGGCAGGGUCUGCAUCAUGGCUAGAGUUUAUCCAGUGGCGCUUGUCGAUGACAUCGGCUGUGCCCACAUGUAUGCCUUCAACAAUGGAAGUGCCACGGUCAUAGUGCCGCAGCUUAGGGCAUGGAGCAUGAGAAGAGCACAAGCGAGUGUUUAA